This 1455-nucleotide long non-coding RNA is filed under the name Homo sapiens (human). RNAcentral's name for it is "HSALNT0392536". The record is from RNAcentral. Lineage: Eukaryota; Metazoa; Chordata; Mammalia; Primates; Hominidae.
UCUCAAAAGUGUUUUCUAAAAUGAUGAAAUAAACGGUGGGGUUCUGUCUAUGGUGGGAUUGUCAGUUUAUUAGGUGAGUAUUUUCCAAGGUCUCAGUUUGUGAAAAAAUGGUGCUAUGUACAAGUGGAGUUUGUUGGGAUAGACAAUCACUUACAAAGCCCAGAUGGCCAGAAGGGAAUUGGUGUUGCUCCUUUCACUUGUAUGGUUGAGCAGAUUUGUCACAUGCCACAAAACCAUUCUUUGUAGUCAUGCUUAGUAUGAGCUUGCUUUGUUGUUACGGUCAUGUUCUUUCCAGCCCUGCCCCAGCUAUGAAUUGUCUAAGUGUGAGGGAGCAUCAGAGCUUCAGUAUUGUUUAAAGAAUGUAGAAAAAUACAAAUUUGUCUAAUUUUGAAACUAUUUUAGAAAGUCCCUACUGUAGAAAGAGCUAAACUCAAAGACUUUCCUUGUAAGUGAAAGAAAAAAACUGCUGAUGAUUACCAAGAGGCGUAAGAAAAUUAGGUGAGGGAAUGUUGUGCUCUAGCCUGUGGGGUGCAGCUUCGUAGGGCACAUCAGCUUAGAAUGGUCUGGCCUCACCUCAGAGAGUCACAGAAAUAGACAAAAACCCAAAAAGUACUAGUAAAGUAAAUACAAGGAACAAAAUAAACAUUAAUAAAAAUGAAUGACGCAAAGGUGAUCCAGAAUCAUUACUUGCUCCAACAGCUAGAUCAAAGGCUGAACAUUUUGCUUUAGUAUAGAUGAGGGAAAUGAGCAAGUCCUAAAAGGUUUGCCCUGUUACGGUGUUUCAUCACUCAUACUGGAAGGAGAAGGAAAGGAGCCAUAUGACUCAUUUAAAAGAAAAACUGAUCUGACACAUCCUCUUGGUUUCCUAAGUCUUAUGACUAGCCAAUGCCUGAAAUAAUGAACUCCUCCAAGGCAAGAAAUCUGUUUUGAAGCUUCUCUGCGUUCACACACAGCAGCCUGGUUUCCUGGAAGGGCAUUUUCCACAUUGUGCGUUAUGGAUGAUCAUCCCAGGCAUCAGGUGUGAAGCCCUGCAUCCACAUCCAGGGGCUAUCAAAUCUCUCUGCAAAAGGAGAAGCUGGACUCAGGCACGUUUACAGUGAUGUGUAUGCAGGGUAUGCACAGAUGUGGAAACAGGAACUGAUGUGUCCAUUACACCACUAGGACAGAGGCCAGAACAAUGAAGAAACCAAAUACUUGGAAGAGGGUAGAGAUAAUGAAUGGAGUCCAAGAGCCCUGAUUGUGCCAUAAAUGUCCAGAUAAUUCCAUACCUGAGGAUUAUGUGGUUUGUAAACUUGGCACUUAGAAGAACCAAUAAAAUCAUGUUAUAGUUUCAACCGGGUCUAGUUACCUUUCCUCUUAGUUGUGACUGUCUAUAUCCUAACUGACACAGGCUCUCGUGCCAUGUCUAAUACUAAGGCAUCCAUGGCAAGCGCUUUUCCAGUAGCACUAGGGAAC